AUGAGCGUGGCUCUGCCUCAUUUUUUUUCUGCCUCCAGCAGCCCCGGGGCUGCUCAGAGCCUGUGUGGCCAGUCCCCCUCUGUGCCUUUGGGACAGAAGUCAUGGAAAUCCUUCUGGGGUGCAGCUGGCAGCCUCCGGACCAGGUUCCUGCUCCUCAAACUGGGAGCACUGCGAGGGACUGGCAGCACCCGUGCUGAACUUUCUGGUGUCGAUCUGCGGAGCUGCAGGAGCGAUGCUUUCAGGACGCUCUCCUCCAUCCCUCUCUCUCUCACAGAAGAAAAAAAAAAAACAAAACAAGAUGAAAAAAUCCCACCAAAACCAAACAGAAAAAAACACAGCAGAAGCUUUUCUUUCGAUCUGCUGGGUCAGCACUCCGGCUGCCGUUGGCUUUUUCAAUCCGUGCUCCCCCCAUGCAGCCCUGCCCUCGGCAGCAGUGCGUGAGCUCGGGCUCUGGCACCCCGGUGAUUGAUGGCGUUGUGAAAGGGGCUGCAGAUGCUGCGGUUGCACCGAGCAGUGGGGAGCUGCUUUCUGCGGCCCACGGAGAUGCCAUCUGCCCGGGGUUCGCCCCCCCAAAGCCUCCCCCUUCGCGUUGCACAACCAGCCGAGGCCACCCCGGAUUUGGCCCGCUCCUCGGCACAAGCGCAAAGUGGAAGCGAAUAUUUGGGCGAGCCCCUUCUGGGAUGCUGCUCGGGGAGAAACGGGGCAGGAAAGCCCCGGGGCUGGUGAAACACACGUUGUCUGGCCUCACGCAGGGAGGUGGGCUCGGCUGAGCCCUGCGGGGGGCUCUUUUGGCCAAACCGAUGGAGUCACCCAAAAAACCCGAGCCGCAGAGAUGCCUCCUGCCCUCUGCGGGGCCGGAUCCAUCGUCAUUCUCCUUCUCUGUAUUUAGCUCUUUUUAUUUCUUCAAGGGAUGUGGUUGAGAUAGAGAUUUCCAGCCCGGAGCUUCUUAUUUAUCCGCAGAUGGCUUGGGCAGGAGUUUCCCAGGAGGAUAGGAGCCCAUCCGCACCCUCCAAAGCACACAAAUACAGGAAAAAAAAAAAAAAAAAGAAGCUGUUGCUGUUUCAGAGCGUAAAGCAGCCCUGCUCCAAUGCGUGGAGACAUCAGACGGAUGGAGCCAUCCCUGCUCUCUGCUGCUGGAAGCUUUUUUGUUCAAUUUGUGGUACCUGGACAGAGCAACCCGCCGGUAUUUGGCGAGGUGAUGCCCAUCCAUCAGCUGCCGCCGCCCUCCGUCCCGGGGAAUCAAUCCUGCCUAAUGUAUAAACAUCAGACCCGGAGACUCAGCUGUAGAGGGGAAAGCGGAGCUGUCAGAUAAGCUGCAAUUAGUGCAUUUAUCUGCUUUAUUUUCCUGUCGGUUCCCAAACUCCUUUUGCCUGCCUGCUCCUAAUACACAUUAUUAAAUCUGCGUUAAAUGUUGAUUAAAGAAGCUGAAAUCCCAGGUGUUUGUUACCCAACACUGCUCUGAGAUGUGCUCUCAAACCACCUUAUGCAAAUUUCAUUUUUUUGUCUCUUUUCCUUGUUUUUUCCACCCUUUUAAAGUAGAUUCAAUCUGGGGAAAUGCCUCUUGUGGGUCGGUGUUCUGGAGGUCCCUGCCCCAGCCCCCCUGGCGCGGAGGGGCAGCAGCCACGAGCUCCAGCAGCUCUUUAAGCAAAAUGCUGCAAAAGGAACAGAUAUUUUAUUAUUAGUCCUGCAAGAGAAAACGCAGCAAUCAAUCCCGGCCCUAGACUAAGCCCUUCCCUUUGUAGUUUGGAUGUUUAGAAGUAAUUUGGGGAGUAAUCACCGCAAAUGGAAGCAUGGAAGUAAAUGCCUGCAAUAAAACAUUGCGGGGGUGACUGUUAUCCUAACGA
This 1844-nucleotide long non-coding RNA is filed under the name Anas platyrhynchos platyrhynchos (common mallard). RNAcentral's name for it is "lncRNA (ENSAPLG00000017830.1)". The record is from RNAcentral. Lineage: Eukaryota; Metazoa; Chordata; Aves; Anseriformes; Anatidae.